CGGCUUAUUCUUGGUCUUCGAUUGAAGGUACUAGUAUCUUGAUACUACCUGUACCCUCUUGAUACUGCAGAUUGGCUC
Molecule: microRNA precursor, 78 nt
Filed under: Spodoptera frugiperda (fall armyworm)
Lineage: Eukaryota; Metazoa; Arthropoda; Insecta; Lepidoptera; Noctuidae
Description: microRNA sfr-mir-10496 precursor
Source: miRBase by way of RNAcentral